AGUUUGAUCCUGGCUCAGGACGAACGCUGGCGGCGUGCUUAACACAUGCAAGUCGAACGCUGAAGCUUGGGUGCUUGCAUCUGGGUGGAUGAGUGGCGAACGGGUGAGUAAUACGUGAGUAACCUGCCCUUGACUCUGGGAUAAGCCUGGGAAACUGGGUCUAAUACUGGAUACUACAUUCUCUCGCAUGGGGGUGUGUGGAAAGGGUUUUACUGGUUUUGGAUGGGCUCACGGCCUAUCAGCUUGUUGGUGGGGUAAUGGCCUACCAAGGCGACGACGGGUAGCCGGCCUGAGAGGGUGACCGGCCACACUGGGACUGAGACACGGCCCAGACUCCUACGGGAGGCAGCAGUGGGGAAUAUUGCACAAUGGGCGAAAGCCUGA
RNAcentral lists this ribosomal RNA (384 nucleotides) under Kocuria sp. R-45691. RNAcentral's name for it is "bacterial SSU rRNA". It matches the Rfam family "Bacterial small subunit ribosomal RNA", at positions 10 to 386 of the family's 1533-position model. Lineage: Bacteria; Bacillati; Actinomycetota; Actinomycetes; Micrococcales; Micrococcaceae. The record is from RNAcentral.